AGUGAACGCUGGCGGCGUGCUUAACACAUGCAAGUCGAACGAGAACGGAUUAUAGCUUGCUAUAAUUGUCAGCUAAGUGGCGCACGGGUGAGUAAUAUAUAGGUAACGUGCCCCAAAGAAGAGGAUAACAGAUGGAAACGUCUGCUAAGACUCUGUAUGCCUUUAUGACAAAAGUCAGCAAGGGAAAUAUUUAUAGCUUUGGGAUCGGCCUGUACAGUAUCAGUUAGUUGGUGAGGUAAUGGCUCACCAAGACAAUGACGCUUAACUGGUUUGAGAGGAUGGAUCAGUCACACUGGAACUGAGACACGGUCCAGACUCCGUACGGGAGGCAGCAGGUGGGGAAUAUUGCACAAUGGACGAAAGUCUGAUGCAGCAACGCCGCGUGGAGGAUGACACAUUUCGGUGCGUAAACUCCUUUAUAUGGGAAGAUAAUGACGGUACCAUAUGAAUAAGCACCGGCUAACUCCGUG
RNAcentral lists this ribosomal RNA (470 nucleotides) under uncultured bacterium. Its description in RNAcentral is "bacterial SSU rRNA". It matches the Rfam family "Bacterial small subunit ribosomal RNA", at positions 29 to 507 of the family's 1533-position model. The record is from RNAcentral.